This 251-nucleotide ribosomal RNA is filed under the name uncultured Vibrio sp. RNAcentral describes it as "partial 16S ribosomal RNA". It matches the Rfam family "Bacterial small subunit ribosomal RNA", at positions 62 to 297 of the family's 1533-position model. The record is from RNAcentral. Lineage: Bacteria; Pseudomonadati; Pseudomonadota; Gammaproteobacteria; Vibrionales; Vibrionaceae.
UCGAGCGGAAACGAGUUAACUGAACCUUCGGCCGCAACGUUAACGGCGUCGAGCGGCGGACGGGUGAGUAAUGCCUGGGAAAUUGCCCUGAUGUGGGGGAUAACCAUUGGAAACGAUGGCUAAUACCGCAUAAUAGCUUCGGCUCAAAGAGGGGGACCUUCGGGCCUCUCGCGUCAGGAUAUGCCCAGGUGGGAUUAGCUAGUUGGUGAGGUAAUGGCUCACCAAGGCGACGAUCCCUAGCUGGUCUGAGA